RNAcentral lists this ribosomal RNA (468 nucleotides) under uncultured bacterium. RNAcentral's name for it is "partial 16S ribosomal RNA". It matches the Rfam family "Bacterial small subunit ribosomal RNA", at positions 28 to 507 of the family's 1533-position model. The record is from RNAcentral.
GACGAACGCUGGCGGCGUGCUUAACACAUGCAAGUCGAACGGAAAGGCCCUGCUUUUGUGGGGUGCUCGAGUGGCGAACGGGUGAGUAACACGUGAGUAACCUGCCCUUGACUUUGGGAUAACUUCAGGAAACUGGGGCUAAUACCGGAUAGGAGCUCCUGCUGCAUGGUGGGGGUUGGAAAGUUUCGGCGGUUGGGGAUGGACUCGCGGCUUAUCAGCUUGUUGGUGGGGUAGUGGCUUACCAAGGCUUUGACGGGUAGCCGGCCUGAGAGGGUGACCGGCAACAUUGGGACUGAGAUACGGCCCAGACUCCUACGGGAGGCAGCAGUGGGGAAUAUUGCACAAUGGGCGGAAGCCUGAUGCAGCAACGCCGCGUGCGGGAUGACGGCCUUCGGGUUGUAAAACGCUUUCGCCUGUGACGAAGCGUGAGUGACGGUAAUGGGUAAAGAAGCACCGGCUAACUACGUG